Podarcis lilfordi (Lilford's wall lizard) is the source of this 76-nucleotide non-coding RNA. The record is from the annotation of a GenBank genome assembly. NCBI's taxonomy places the organism in Eukaryota, Metazoa, Chordata, Lepidosauria, Squamata, Lacertidae.
GAAGACUCUACGAUAGGGGAUGAAGAGCAUCAGCUUUGCAUGCAGAAGGCUCCAGGUUCAAUCCCUGGCAUCUCCA